CCUACGGGCGGCAGCAGUGGGGAAUAUUGGACAAUGGGGGCAACCCUGAUCCAGCCAUGCCGCGUAUGUGAAGAAGGCCCUCGGGUUGUAAAGCACUUUCAGUGAGGAAGAACGCCUGGUGGUUAAUACCCAUCAGGAAAGACAUCACUCACAGAAGAAGCACCGGCUAACUCCGUGCCAGCAGCCGCGGUAAUACGGAGGGUGCGAGCGUUAAUCGGAAUUACUGGGCGUAAAGCGCGCGUAGGUGGCUUGAUAAGCCGGUUGUGAAAGCCCCGGGCUCAACCUGGGAACGGCAUCCGGAACUGUCAAGCUAGAGUGCAGGAGAGGAAGGUAGAAUUCCCGGUGUAGCGGUGAAAUGCGUAGAGAUCGGGAGGAAUACCAGUGGCGAAGGCGGCCUUCUGGACUGACACUGACACUGAGGUGCGAAAGCGUGGGUAGCAAACAGGAUUAGAUACCCUUGUAGUC
RNAcentral lists this ribosomal RNA (465 nucleotides) under Vreelandella stevensii. RNAcentral describes it as "partial 16S ribosomal RNA". It matches the Rfam family "Bacterial small subunit ribosomal RNA", at positions 338 to 795 of the family's 1533-position model. The record is from RNAcentral. Lineage: Bacteria; Pseudomonadati; Pseudomonadota; Gammaproteobacteria; Oceanospirillales; Halomonadaceae.